GAUCCUGGCUCAGGAUGAACGCUAGCUACAGGCUUAACGCAUGCAAGUCGAGGGGCAGCAUGGUCUUAGCUUGCUAAGGCCGAUGGCGACCGGCGCACGGGUGAGUAACACGUAUCCAACCUGCCGUCUACUCUUGGACAGCCUUCUGAAAGGAAGAUUAAUACAGGAUGGCAUCAUGAGUCCGCAUGUUCACAUGAUUAAAGGUAUUCUGGUAGACGAUGGGG
Molecule: ribosomal RNA, 224 nt
Filed under: uncultured bacterium
Lineage: Bacteria
Description: partial 16S ribosomal RNA
Rfam family: Bacterial small subunit ribosomal RNA
Source: RNAcentral